GGCGUCUGUAAACGAAAUCUCCAGCCAAGCCCUACCAGAGACCUUCAGACGGGGCAGCCGGCAGGGAACAGCAAUCUGCCUCUUGCAGGCAUCCCCCCGAGCCCAUCCCCGCCGCGGGACCGUGCCACGGGGCUGUCCUCCAGCUCCACGUGGCCACCUCCAUGUUACCUCGCUAUCUCGGCCGGCAGCUGCCUCUCCAUGAACUCCCGCAUGCACUGGUGCUCGGUCGAAUUCGUGAGGAAGAGGCGGAAAGACUGGAGGCAUGGAGAGGCUGCAAAGACUUGGUCUGGAUUAGAAGAAAGUGCAACACACAUCUCCAGAGAUGCUGGCAGAUGUCUCUAUCUGUUUUUUUUAAGUCUAUCACGUCUUGUCCUAACUGGCAAGGAGAAAGAGGUCCUCUUCCUUCUCGCGGGUCCCGUGCUUAAGGACCACACUGCCGCUCUUACCAUCAGAUCUGACUUCCCCGCAGAGGUUACGUACCCAGCCACCUCUCGUUUUUACGGCUCCCCUUGGACUGUCUCCAGCCAAGCCCUGUUGUUGUCGAAGCGCAGCAGCCAACAGCCGAAGCCUCCCACCCGCUGAGCUCCCCCGGCUCCCCGCGCAGCCGGGACGGCUUCCCUCACCCCACCGAGCCCCCGCUCCCCUUUGCCUUCACUCACCAGCGUGACCUCUGAAAUACAAACCAUGGAUUUUCCAGACUACUUUUCUUGUCCCUUUGAGUUAUAAUUCUGUCCUCAGUGGUGCUCCCAGUCCCUCGCAGCUGCACAUCGAAUAACAACAGUCUCGUCCCUCCCCCAGAUCAUGAACGGAAACACAAAAGAAUAUCAGGCUCGGAUUCAUACUCGUCAUUGCCUCCCUUUCUGGCAGUGAACUGGUGAUGACUUUUCUGACUAACUAUGCAACCAGUUUUCCACCCACCCAAUAGAUGCCGCAUCGAGGCCACGUCUUCCUCACUUGUUUAUGAGAAUGUCAUACCAGAGGGUGCCAACCCUAAAGCCUCUGUAUAGGAGCGACUCCUUCUCCCCUGUACGCUGGGCAGUUACAGCACCGGCAGAAAGAUGGGCUUGGCACAAUGUCUCCCUAGCAUCUCCACGUUCCCUGGCCAUCCCCUUGUUCUAUUUCUGGUGCUCACUCCUUUUCAAAGGACAAUUUCUAGGGACAGCCAUCUUGCCGAGCAGCUGUAGGUCCCCAACUCCUCCUGCUCCUCCUGUCUCCUUUCCAAUGAUAACGUGAGCUGCUUGGUUUUGCCCACCUUCCCUUGCUGCACGUGCCAAAGGUAACAUCCAACUCAUGACACAUUUUGGUUUUGCAUCUCAUGAGCCACAUCUCCGCACAUUCCAAAGGUUCCCACAGGAGGAUGCAUGGUGCAGGCUAGUGGUGAUGCACCUCCUCUAGCACGUGCUGCUACCAGAGCCGUUAGGUCAAUUAGCAACGCCUGUUAAUUGCCGUCCUUGAGACAGUCCCAAAGACCAGCAGCAACCUCCGGAGCAGGACCCAAGGUGUGAUUUCACACCCACACCACCGCCGAGGCACAGCUGGAUUUCAGCACGCUCCUCACACCCUAGCCCUGCAGACAGCAAGGAUGCUUUUGAAGGAAAAAACAGCAAAUCCGAGUACGUUAAACAGUAACAGUGAUGAAAGGGGCCUGGUAACAAGUAGAUGGGAGAGCUUUAAAAACUUUGCUGGGUCCCAGAUGCCAAUGAGGGCCGGUUCGGAGCGGCAUGGGAAGGCGAUGGCCCCCCCGCCGGCCACGGAGCUCACCCCCUGCCACCUGCUUCAGUGAGCCUGGUGGUGUUAGAUAAGAGAGGCGAUCUGGCCCAUGCAUUAGCCACAGACCAACAGACACAGCUGAGUUGACUCUAUUCGGUGGAGGACAACCACUUGCAGGGCAGUGUCUGCCUCUCAGGCUGCCCACCCAGCCCAGCUGCCACACCUGAGCCCGCUGGCAGGCACACCGACACCCCCGGAUCCUUCCCCAGACGGCCAUCACUGGAAUCCCCAGCAAAAUCUGAAUUAACCUGCGGAAAACAAGUAUGAAUUUUGCCAGAGAGAGUAAGGGAGCAAACACCUGGAUGUACGUCAGGGAUGCUGCGAGCGAUGCUGGGAGCCAGCCCUCGCUGAAGGAGGAAAGGUGCAAGGGAACGUGCCCUGCCACAUGUCCCCGGGGUGGCCACCAGCCGUGUCCACAGCAAUGCAGGAUUUCCCGUAGGCUGUGCCCAUCCACAAGCUCCAACAGCCUCAUCGGUCCCACGGCAGAAGUGGGAAUAGCAGCACAAAAGUAUCCACUGAAGAUUUAGAAGUGUUGUGACGACUGGUUAAUCAACUGAUGCCUUCAGAGAGGAAAAGUGCUAAGUUAACCAAAAAGCUGGGUACAGGCAGGGCAUUGGGGCCGGCUGCUGGUUACGUGCGUAAAGCCAGGUGAUUACAGGCGUAACGCUGCAUAAUGCUGAUUUUGUCUUGGAAGAGAUGGCAGUGCCAGAAUAGACCACCGGUCACGCACAGGGCUGCAGCGACCCUCGCUUGGGUGAAGAUCCAUCCCUUUGGAGCAGGGAUCAAAGCCUGGAGUCACAGCUCAGCAAAGCUGAGCUUGGGAACAGGCAGGGGAUGGAUCCGCGUGCAAUAUCCUCCCUGCCUUAACAAAACCCGAGAGUCCAAAGUACGUGGGUCAGAUCUAGGAAACUGGAUUUUCAAGAGGCGGCAGGAGUGGGAAAGGCUGGGCAGGAAAGACCUAAUUUCUGUCCUCUCACCAGGCUUCAAAGCAUCUGUAGAUGGACCAAAUAUCUGAGCCCAGAGACCCAGGAGUUUAUUGGGCUCACCUCUGGAUCUGAUUGAAUCGCACUCAGCCAGCCCAAUAAAAGCAGAAGCUAGACGUUGCUUAAUGUCUAAAGAAUUAUUUCUGCUGUCUUCUAAUAAAGCACGCUGAUGUAAGCUGGAGUUGAUAACAAGAUCACUGCGCUGGGGUAGCAAAAUCUCAUUUUACAGGACAACCGAACUGUCAGUGCCAAAGAGCGGACAGGUUAUUGCUCAUGCUUCUCCAAGGUUGCUUUUAUUAAAAUGGAAAUUUCCCAAGCUUUGCAUGCACACACACGCGGCCACGGGUGCAGACAUCCCUUCGAGGGGGAGAGGGGCCAGCCGCAAGGCCACAGCCGCCUGCGGCUCAUGACUUGCAACCCUUACAAACCGGGGUCGCUCAGGGGAACGGCAGCACGGCAGUGAAGGGGCUCAUGUCUUCACAGCCCCCAUCCUCACCACGGCUUUGGGGUGGGUUUGCAGGUACAGCAGCCCCGGGUGGGUGCGAUGGGCUCCCCCAUGGCUGCACAUCAUGAAUUUCCCAUCUGAUCUGAGUGAGGAUUUGCUCUCCCUCCUCAAACCCAGUGUAGGCAUCAUCACCUUAAAACUGGGCUUUUCACACUUUGGACUAACACAGUUCUUCAUGCAAGAGGGAGGCAGCAGCCCAGCCCCUCUCCAGCACAGCC
Molecule: long non-coding RNA, 3476 nt
Organism: Grus americana (Whooping crane)
Lineage: Eukaryota; Metazoa; Chordata; Aves; Gruiformes; Gruidae
Exons: 4
Source: RefSeq, a predicted model, not a curated record